GAUGAACGCUGGCUACAGGCUUAACACAUGCAAGUCGAGGGGAAACGACGGGGAAGCUUGCUUCCCCGGGCGUCGACCGGCGCACGGGUGAGUAACGCGUAUCCAACCUGCCUCUGACUGAGGGAUAACCCGUCGAAAGUCGGCCUAAUACCUCAUGGUAUCGUCUGCGGGCAUCCAACGACGAUUAAAGAUUUCAUCGGUCAGGGAUGGGGGUGCGUCUGAUUAGCUUGUUGGCGGGGUAACGGCCCACCAAGGCUACGAUCAGUAGGGGUUCUGAGAGGAAGGUCCCCCACAUUGGAACUGAGACACGGUCCAAACUCCUACGGGAGGCAGCAGUGAGGAAUAUUGGUCAAUGGGCGAGAGCCUGAACCAGCCAAGUAGCGUGCAGGAAGACGGCCCUAUGGGUUGUAAACUGCUUUUAUGCGGGGAUAAAGUGAGGGACGUGUCCCUCAUUGCAGAUACCGCAUGAAUAAGGACCGGCUAAUUCCGUG
RNAcentral lists this ribosomal RNA (491 nucleotides) under uncultured bacterium. RNAcentral's name for it is "partial 16S ribosomal RNA". It matches the Rfam family "Bacterial small subunit ribosomal RNA", at positions 28 to 507 of the family's 1533-position model. The record is from RNAcentral.